AAUGAACGCUGGCGGCAGGCUUAACACAUGCAAGUCGAGAGAGCGGCGGGCGGGCGAGUAAUGUCGGGGUAACUGACUGAUGGAGGGGGAGAACUACUGGAAGCGGAAGAUAAUAACGCAUAACAUCAGCAGAGCCUAGAUGGGAUUAGCUAGUAGGUGGGGUAACUGCUCACCUAGGCGGCGGUCCCUAGCUGGUCUGAUAGGAUGACCAGCCCACCUGGAACUGAGACACGGUCCAGACUCCUACGGGAGGCAGCAGUGGGGAAAAUUGCACAAUUGGGUCAAGCCUGAUGCCGCCAUGCCGAGUGUGUGAAGAAGGCCUUCGGGUUUUAAAGCACUUUCAGCGGGGAGGCGUUACCCGCAGAAGAAGCACCGGCUAACUCCGUGCCAGCAGCCGCGGUAAUUC
RNAcentral lists this ribosomal RNA (406 nucleotides) under uncultured bacterium. RNAcentral's name for it is "partial 16S ribosomal RNA". It matches the Rfam family "Bacterial small subunit ribosomal RNA", at positions 29 to 526 of the family's 1533-position model. The record is from RNAcentral.